This 28-nucleotide small RNA is filed under the name Bombyx mori (domestic silkworm). RNAcentral describes it as "piRNA piR-bmo-1574151". Lineage: Eukaryota; Metazoa; Arthropoda; Insecta; Lepidoptera; Bombycidae. The record is from RNAcentral.
UUCUAUCUGUAAAGCGGUUGCUGAUUGC